This 446-nucleotide ribosomal RNA is filed under the name uncultured bacterium. Its description in RNAcentral is "partial 16S ribosomal RNA". It matches the Rfam family "Bacterial small subunit ribosomal RNA", at positions 338 to 795 of the family's 1533-position model. The record is from RNAcentral.
CCUACGGGUGGCAGCAGUCGAGAAUCAUUCACAAUGGGGGAAACCCUGAUGGUGCGACGCCGCGUGGGGGAAUGAAGGUCUUCGGAUUGUAAACCCCUGUCAUGUGGGAGCAAAUUAAAAAGAUAGUACCACAAGAGGAAGAGACGGCUAACUCUGUGCCAGCAGCCGCGGUAAUACAGAGGUCUCAAGCGUUGUUCGGAAUCACUGGGCGUAAAGCGUGCGUAGGCUGUUUCGUAAGUCGUGGGUGAAAGGCGCGGGCUCAACCCGCGGACGGCACAUGAUACUGCGAGACUAGAGUAAGGGAGGGGGAACCGGAAUUCUCGGUGUAGCAGUGAAAUGCGUAGAUAUCGAGAGGAACACUCGUGGCGAAGGCGGGUUCCUGGACAUUAACUGACGCUGAGGCACGAAGGCCAGGGGAGCGAAAGGGAUUAGAUACCCCUGUAGUC